This 3153-nucleotide long non-coding RNA is filed under the name Malus domestica (apple). Its description in RNAcentral is "long non-coding RNA (MDOM_LNC015137)". The record is from RNAcentral. Lineage: Eukaryota; Viridiplantae; Streptophyta; Magnoliopsida; Rosales; Rosaceae.
AAAAUUUGAGAACUAAUAAGGUCUUAGUCAAUGAACAGUAAGAACUAGGGACCGGAUACUAAUUUUUCCUUUUUUUUAGUGUGUAUAAGUAAUGAGUUUGGUUAAAGUUUUACUUUAAUUUUAUUAAUUCUUCGAUGUUAAUUUUAAGGGUCAACUAAAUUGUACAAGAAAUGUCUCACAUGUGUUCCGAACGUCCAAACUUAAAUUAGCAGAAUUAGUAAAUUAUUUAAAAUCGUGAAAAUUCCAACUGAAUUAAAUUAGUAGAACUUCGUCCAAACUACAAUCGUCGCAAUCAUAACUAUACAAUCAAAGGAGAUGCCAGGGAGCUUAGUCCCCCUCCAUACUUAAUGUCUCACAAUCAAGGUAUAAAAUAUCGAUAAUAUCGGAAAUAUCGGUAAUUCAAAAACACGAAAAUUUCGAUGAAAAUAUCGGGAUAUUAUCGAUAUCGAUAAUAAUUGAAUAAAAACCACGAAAAUUAUAAGAAAAACUUGGAAAUUUUUAUUGAAACUUUGCAGGAUGUUUAUUUAGUCAAUUAUCUAUUAGUUUAUCACAAAAAAUUGGAAGGAAAUGCAUUGCAUGAUGGAUAUAACUGAUUUAAGUUGAUUAUAUAGUGAGCUGGCAAACAUUUUGAGUGUAUAAAAUAUGUAGUAGAAGUUUAAACACACCAUAAUCAUUUAUAUAUAAUGAAUUAGUACAAUAUUUUACACUUUAUACAUUGCAUGGUAAGAUACAUGAGUGACUUAGUAAGGUCUAAAAUAUCGAUGAUAUCGGAAAUAUCAGUAGUCCAAAAACACAAAAAUUUCGAUGGAAAUAUCGGGAUAUUAUGGAUAUUUUAGACCAUGCUCACAAUGAAUCACAUAUGCAUUUUGAUGUGAACUAAACAACAAGAAGUUCAUCUAAACUGCUAAAGGAGGGAGGUUAACUCCGAAAUGUGGUGAGCUUGGCCUCAAAACCCGGUAAGUAGCGUUUCUCAGAAAACAACAAAGAUGAUAAUCCAAAUUUUACAUUGUCAUCUUGUGUUUGGUUGAACCGCAGUAAAGUAGAAGCCAUAGUCCAAACUUGAUCUUUCUUCUUUCUCCUAUCAUAGGUCGUUCAUUUCUGCUCAUAAAAUCCCAGACCACAACAAGCACUGCAAUUAUUACCUGGUCCAACUUGAAUUCCCCGAAACUACAAUGUAUGUCAUUUCAAGUAAAUGGUCCUUAGACUCCAGGGUGUGCAAUCACGUAGUCAGAAUUUUUAAAUAAUGGGUCAUAAUAUCAACAAAAAAAUUUCAUAAGGCUAUUUCGUCGAGCACCUAGUAGACACUUGUCGAUUCUUGUUAACAUAUACCGGAGGUUUAUGUCACCAUAUGUCGACAACUAAUAUUACUUGCAGAGGCUUGUUGAGAGUGGAUGCAAGAUACUAUGGAGUAAUUUUGAAGACUACCAAGGUUUUUAAACUAAAGUAUUUCAUAUAAAAAGAGAGAAAAUGAAGACAAAUAUGAUAAAUGAAAAUAGUAGUAAAAGAGGAGGUUGUAAUUUAAUUUGUCUUAGUUGUUAUAGAGGUCAAAUACACUGUACAAACAAAUAUACAUGGGAUUUUUUUAAGUUAUUGGGAUCAAAGACAACCAAUAAAGAAAUCGGAAGUGCUGCCAAAUUAAAAAACUUUGGUCAGUAUAAAAUCACAUGACUAUUCUUAUGUCAUUGUUGAAGAGUGUAUUCUGGUGUGACGAUUGAUCACACACUAAAACAUUAGAUUUUUGUGUAUGUUGUGAAUCAGUGUCACAAUGGUAAUAUUAAUAAUAUGCAUAUUAUUAACUUGUAAUUUUAAAAACAUUAUUUCCCUCUAGGUGUCAGUUAGGGCAUUUUCUUCAAUUGUUAGAUGCGGAAAGAGAUAAAUAUACGAUGCUUCUUCUUGUAGCUAUUAUGUUUCUGGUUAUCACGUACUUACAAUUUUUCAACUAGUAACUUGAAUGGCUAACCGCUUAAAACUUGAUCCUGCAUUUAGCUCGAGGGCUGGCCGAGAACCAGCAGAUCUACAUAUUGGUUUUUCAUGUUCAAAGUUUUAUCACCUUAGUUAAUUAAAAACAUUCAUUUUAUAUUUGAGAUUUCGAGUUUAAUUUUUCAUCCCCUCAUUAUAAUUUAUAAAUAUAAAAGAAGAAAAAAAAAUUACUUUUUAAAGUAAUAUUGAAUUUGUUACAAAAUUCUCUCUUUUGUUGGUUAUGUUUGGAGAAAAUCGAAUUCUAAAUCUAUGCUUAUAUUAACUCAUUAUCUGCAUGUGGUCAAUAUCCUAGUAGAUUGAGUGUUGAGUGUUUUUACCCAUGCGCUUUGAGUUCAAAACUCUAUCAUUCCUUAAAUUAAUGUAAUAGUUUCCCCAUGUUCUUAAUAAUAGUAAAUAAAAAUAAAAUAAAAUAAAAAACUCAUUAUCUCACAAUGUAUCAUAGUUUGGAAUGACCAAAGAGUUUAAUCCAAAAAUACAUAUUUCUAUUUUCUUGGAUUUGCUGCUCUUGUUUUUUCGCAUUAUAUAUUAAGAUUUAACUCCUACAAUUAAAUUACUUAGGGACAACAACCCCCGGAAAGAGCUGGUUAAUUUUACGAAGGCAAAUUGUUUGCCCUCCUGUUUGGAUGCCCUUCCCAUCCCCUCCUAUUUGUACAGUCAUCAUUAAGUUACGUCAAUAUUUUAUAUUCUUAUUGUUUUUUGUUUUAUUAUCUACAUAAAAAAUUAAUAUAAAAUAUUGACGUGACUUAACGGUGACCGCACAAAAUAGUAGGGAAUGGAAAGGGCACCCAAACAGGAGAGCAGACAAUCUGCCUCCUAAUUUCACACCGUCUUACGAAUAUAACUAAACCAAUCAUGAACUGGACUUCAAUUAAUCAUUGAGGCUUUGCUUUGAUUGAUCACUAAGGCUUUGCUUCGAUUUGAUCAUUAAGGCUUCCCAUGACACACCCCGACCGAGAUCGAGGCAUGCUGGCCGACACGUGAGGGUGACGUAGCCAUGUGCACAAUGCGGAAGCAAUAAAUAUAAGAAAUAUACGAAUAAAUAAAAACCAAAAGCUACUAAUGUGCACUAAUAAGUAGAAAGUGCUAGGAGUGAGAUACAAGAGUAAAUACUUCUAAUCAGAGCAUAGAAAGUCUAGGUGCAGUCCAAUAAGACAAGUACUAGUUAUACAGUAC